RNAcentral lists this ribosomal RNA (1443 nucleotides) under uncultured organism. Its description in RNAcentral is "SSU rRNA". It matches the Rfam family "Bacterial small subunit ribosomal RNA". The record is from RNAcentral.
CUACAGGCUUAACACAUGCAAGUCGAGGGGCAGCAUGGUCUUAGCUCGCUAAGGCCGAUGGCGACCGGCGCACGGGUGAGUAACACGUAUCCAACCUGCCGUCUACUCUUGGACAGCCUCCUGAAAGGAAGAUUAAUACAAGAUGGCAUCAUGAGUCCGCAUGUUCACAUGAUUAAAGGUAUUCCGGUAGACGAUGGGGAUGCGUUCCAUUAGAUAGUAGGCGGGGUAACGGCCCACCUAGUCUUCGAUGGAUAGGGGUUCUGAGAGGAAGGUCCCCCACAUUGGAACUGAGACACGGUCCAAACUCCUACGGGAGGCAGCAGUGAGGAAUAUUGGUCAAUGGGCGCAGGCCUGAACCAGCCAAGUAGCGUGAAGGAUGACUGCCCUAUGGGUUGUAAACUUCUUUUAUAAAGGAAUAAAGUCGGGUAUGGAUACCCGUUUGCAUGUACUUUAUGAAUAAGGAUCGGCUAACUCCGUGCCAGCAGCCGCGGUAAUACGGAGGAUCCGAGCGUUAUCCGGAUUUAUUGGGUUUAAAGGGAGCGUAGAUGGAUGUUUAAGUCAGUUGUGAAAGUUUGCGGCUCAACCGUAAAAUUGCAGUUGAUACUGGAUAUCUUGAGUGCAGUUGAGGCAGGCGGAAUUCGUGGUGUAGCGGUGAAACGCUUAGAUAUCACGAAGAACUCCGAUUGCGAAGGCAGCCUGCUAAGCUGCAACUGACAUUGAGGCUCGAAAGUGUGGGUAUCAAACAGGAUUAGAUACCCUGGUAGUCCACACGGUAAACGAUGAAUACUCGCUGUUUGCGAUAUACGGCAAGCGGCCAAGCGAAAGCGUUAAGUAUUCCACCUGGGGAGUACGCCGGCAACGGUGAAACUCAAAGGAAUUGACGGGGGCCCGCACAAGCGGAGGAACAUGUGGUUUAAUUCGAUGAUACGCGAGGAACCUUACCCGGGCUUAAAUUGCAGAUGAAUUACGGUGAAAGCCGUAAGCCGCAAGGCAUCUGUGAAGGUGCUGCAUGGUUGUCGUCAGCUCGUGCCGUGAGGUGUCGGCUUAAGUGUCAUAACGAGCGCAACCCUUGUUGUCAGUUACUAACAGGUUCCGCUGAGGACUCUGACAAGACUGCCAUCGUAAGAUGUGAGGAAGGUGGGGAUGACGUCAAAUCAGCACGGCCCUUACGUCCGGGGCUACACACGUGUUACAAUGGGGGGUACAGAGGGCCGCUACCACGCGAGUGGAUGCCAAUCCCAAAAACCUCUCUCAGUUCGGACUGGAGUCUGCAACCCGACUCCACGAAGCUGGAUUCGCUAGUAAUCGCGCAUCAGCCACGGCGCGGUGGAUACGUUCCCGGGCCUUGUACACACCGCCCGUCAAGCCAUGGGAGCCGGGGGUACCUGAAGUGCGUAACCGCGAGGAGCGCCCUAGGGUAAAACUGGUGACUGGGGCUAAGUA